This 497-nucleotide ribosomal RNA is filed under the name uncultured bacterium. Its description in RNAcentral is "partial 16S ribosomal RNA". It matches the Rfam family "Bacterial small subunit ribosomal RNA", at positions 28 to 507 of the family's 1533-position model. The record is from RNAcentral.
GAUGAACGCUGGCGGCGUGCCUAAUACAUGCAAGUCGAGCGAACAGACGAGGAGCUUGCUCCUCUGACGUUAGCGGCGGACGGGUGAGUAACACGUGGAUAACCUACCUAUAAGACUGGGAUAACUUCGGGAAACCGGAGCUAAUACCGGAUAAUAUAUUGAACCGCAUGGUUCAAUAGUGAAAGACGGUUUUGCUGUCACUUAUAGAUGGAUCCGCGCCGCAUUAGCUAGUUGGUAAGGUAACGGCUUACCAAGGCGACGAUGCGUAGCCGACCUGAGAGGGUCGUCGGCCACACUGUAACUGAGACACGGUCCACACUCCUACGGGAGGCAGCAGUAGGGAAUCUUCCGCAAUGGGCGAAAGCCUGACGGAGCAACGCCGCGUGAGUGAUGAAGGUCUUCGGAUCGUAAAACUCUGUUAUUAGGGAAGAACAAAUGUGUAAGUAACUAUGCACGUCUUGACGGUACCUAAUCAGAAAGCCACGGCUAACUACGUG